GAUGAAGAACGCAGCGAAGUGCGAUAAGUAGUGUGAAUUGCAGAAUUCCGUGAAUCAUCGAAUCUUUGAACGCAAAUUGCACUUUCUGGUAUUCCGGAAAGUAUGCCUGUUUGAGGGUCGGCUAAAUAAGAAAUCAAUGUGUUGCUUUUAAGUAACAUAUUGGAAUUGGAUCAUCUUAACCUUGUUAAGCGAUCUAAAAAUUAUUUUGCUUCGGUAUGAUUACGAACUUAAUAAAUUUCGUCGUUUGAUAUAUCGAAUGUUAUUUUUAUUAGGUGUAACCAUUUUUAAUGGUUCUUACGUCUAUAAUUUUGAUUAACGACCUCAAAUCAGGUAAGAGUACCCGCUGAACUUAAGCAUAUCAAUAAGCGGAGGA
Molecule: unclassified non-coding RNA, 373 nt
Filed under: soil metagenome
Description: partial contains 5.8S ribosomal RNA, internal transcribed spacer 2, and large subunit ribosomal RNA
Rfam family: 5.8S ribosomal RNA (bases 1-120)
Source: RNAcentral